GCAGUGGUGGUUCAGUGGUAGAAUUUUCGUCUUCUAUGCGGGAGACCUGGGUUUGAUUCCCAGCCACUGCA
This 71-nucleotide transfer RNA is filed under the name Trichechus manatus latirostris (Florida manatee). RNAcentral describes it as "tRNA-Arg (TCT) (tRNA-Arg-TCT-7-1)". It matches the Rfam family "tRNA". Rfam says of the family: Transfer RNA (tRNA) molecules are approximately 80 nucleotides in length. Their secondary structure includes four short double-helical elements and three loops (D, anti-codon, and T loops). The record is from Rfam by way of RNAcentral. Lineage: Eukaryota; Metazoa; Chordata; Mammalia; Sirenia; Trichechidae.